GAUGAACGCUGGCGGCGUGCCUAAUACAUGCAAGUCGAGCGAACGGACGAGAAGCUUGCUUCUCUGAUGUUAGCGGCGGACGGGUGAGUAACACGUGGAUAACCUACCUAUAAGACUGGGAUAACUUCGGGAAACCGGAGCUAAUACCGGAUGAUAUUUUGAACCGCAUGGUUCAAAAGUGAAAGACGGUCUUGCUGUCACUUAUAGAUGGAUCCGCGCUGCAUUAGCUAGUUGGUAAGGUAACGGCUUACCAAGGCAACGAUGCAUAGCCGACCUGAGAGGGGGAUCGGCCACACGGGAACGGAGACGCGGUCCAGACGCCUACGGGAGGCAGCAGUAGGGAAUCUUCCGCAAUGGGCGAAAGCCUGACGGAGCAACGCCGCGUGAGUGAUGAAGGUCUUCGGAUCGUAAAACUCUGUUAUUAGGGAAGAACAUAUGUGUAAGUAACUGUGCACAUCUUGACGGUACCUAAUCAGAAAGCCACGGCUAACUACGUG
Molecule: ribosomal RNA, 497 nt
Filed under: uncultured bacterium
Lineage: Bacteria
Description: partial 16S ribosomal RNA
Rfam family: Bacterial small subunit ribosomal RNA
Source: RNAcentral